GAAGAUCAGGUGAUGAAGGAUAUGAAGCAGGUUGUACCGGACGCAAUAAUAUUUAAUUUUUCUAAAUUUUGUUGCUAAUAGUAUAUUUACUGUACAUACUCUACUUAUGACAAUUGCAUUUUUUAUACUUAACACUUAUACUUAAAACGAAAAUAUAUUCUUUGGCCAACAAUACAUAUUAUUAUAACGACGAUUCCCAGUUGUCAUUAGUGCCUCUCUUUCACUAAUUUAAUGAAGGAAAUUCCGGAAAAAAUAACAAAGAUGAAAAUAAUUUUAUUUCCAAC
Cinara cedri is the source of this 284-nucleotide non-coding RNA. Lineage: Eukaryota; Metazoa; Arthropoda; Insecta; Hemiptera; Aphididae. The record is from the annotation of a GenBank genome assembly.